UACAGAGGGGGCAAGCGUUGUUCGGAAUUACUGGGCGUAAAGGGCGCGUAGGCGGCCUGUUAAGUCGGACGUGAAAUCCCUCGGCUUAACCGGGGAACUGCGUCCGAUACUGGAGGGCUUGAGUGUGGGAGAGGGAUGCGGAAUUCCAGGUGUAGCGGUGAAAUGCGUAGAUAUCUGGAGGAACACCGGUGGCGAAGGCGGCAUCCUGGACCAUGACUGACGCUGAGGAGCGAAAGCCAGGGGAGCAAACGGG
This 253-nucleotide ribosomal RNA is filed under the name uncultured bacterium. RNAcentral describes it as "partial 16S ribosomal RNA". It matches the Rfam family "Bacterial small subunit ribosomal RNA", at positions 524 to 776 of the family's 1533-position model. The record is from RNAcentral.